RNAcentral lists this transfer RNA (85 nucleotides) under Candidatus Aenigmatarchaeota archaeon. Its description in RNAcentral is "tRNA-Thr". It matches the Rfam family "tRNA". Rfam says of the family: Transfer RNA (tRNA) molecules are approximately 80 nucleotides in length. Lineage: Archaea; Nanobdellati; Candidatus Aenigmatarchaeota. The record is from RNAcentral.
GCCACGAUAGCUCAAAGGCAGAGCAAAAAUAGAGCUUAACUGCCCUGUAAGCAGUAGGUUGAGGGUUCAAUUCCCUCUCGUGGCU